CUCGGCGGCAAUAGCGCGGUGGUCCCACCUGACCCCAUGCCGAACUCAGAAGUGAAACGCCGUAGCGCCGAUGGUAGUGUGGGGUCUCCCCAUGCGAGAGUAGGACACUGCCGCAU
Molecule: ribosomal RNA, 116 nt
Filed under: Serratia marcescens
Lineage: Bacteria; Pseudomonadati; Pseudomonadota; Gammaproteobacteria; Enterobacterales; Yersiniaceae
Source: RNAcentral